Long non-coding RNA from Zea mays, 623 nucleotides. RefSeq lists it as uncharacterized. The record is from RefSeq and is a predicted model, not a curated record. The transcript is spliced from 2 exons. Lineage: Eukaryota; Viridiplantae; Streptophyta; Magnoliopsida; Poales; Poaceae.
CGAGACUCCUCUUCAUCUAAACAGGUUGUUCUCUAUUGUCUAUAUAUAGCGUGCCCUGGAGUAUCAUUGGUUAUCAACAACAGAAGUUUCAACUAAUCAGCUUACUAGGAUGAAGCCUGGAACGGUGGCACUGCUCAUUUUGUUGAACAUGAUGUGCAUAGUUGCAUACUUUGAUCAUGGAAGCUUUCCUGGAACGAUGGCCGAAGAAACCACCUUGCUGGCAAAUUCGUAUGGAAGAAAUGAAGGAACCAAGGGCAUACAUCGUGGAAGAAAGCUGAUGGACGCCGGUACUGAUUCAAACCGUGGGUUUUCUAUCAGUGAUAUGCGUCACAUAAUGAGCUCAGGCAACCCUCAUCCUUAGCUCCAGCUGGUUGCAUUCCCUAAAGUUCGUACAUGUAUAGCCUUCCACUCAUCAUAUGCUGGGUAUCCGACCUAUAGACACAUACGGUAUGUUGCAGAUCGAUCGCCAGGUUCUCAGAUCAAGUCCCUUGUAUUGUAUAUGAGUGGAAACCUAUCUAAAUAAUGUGUGUGGCUUCUAAAAUAUGUGGUGUUAUUGUACUGAGCUAUGCUCAAUACUAAACAAUAAAUUAUUGAAAUAUGUCCCGUGUGCGAUAAUAAUGUGA